This is a long non-coding RNA of Schistocerca piceifrons (Central American locust), 343 nucleotides long. RefSeq lists it as uncharacterized. The record is from RefSeq and is a predicted model, not a curated record. The transcript has 2 exons. NCBI's taxonomy places the organism in Eukaryota, Metazoa, Arthropoda, Insecta, Orthoptera, Acrididae.
GUCGGAGUUGGUAUAGACAGAGUAUAACGUAGCGGUCACAACACUCCGUCUCUUUUCUUGCUACUCACUGCGAUCGCAGCGCUCCAAGUGGUCAGCAAGCGACACUUCUGAAUAUGAUAACAGAACGCGUAAGCGUCGUGUCCGAGACGGAACGAGUGUGCGUGGAGUCCGGGGCUAAAAGCACGUCACUGUCCACCUACGCUGCCUCCGACGCUCCAGCACAUCCGACGCCACCACGGACGCCGUGCCAUGCGCUGAUUUUUAUGCAGUGCGCUGUCGCCGACAAUAUACUGAUGUACUUGUGGACCCCUUAUCCAUGAGAAAUAAAUACUCUUGAACGACA